Molecule: long non-coding RNA, 811 nt
Organism: Serinus canaria (Common canary)
Lineage: Eukaryota; Metazoa; Chordata; Aves; Passeriformes; Fringillidae
Exons: 3
Source: RefSeq, a predicted model, not a curated record
GUGACAAUACAAACACAUUUCUCUAUCCGGGGCCAAGGCCGGGGCUGCUCCCGGGAGGAAACGCCGCAGGCCCCGGAACGGCAAUGCCGGAGCCCCGGGAGCGGCGGGGCCGGGCUCGGAGCCAAGAACAUCCCAAAGUGCCUCCUCACCCUCAUGGACAACAGGAAUGUCUUCCAUAGCUCCUGUUUGAGAAUGGCAAUGGCUGUUGGGAGCUCUGGCAGGAGCACCCGGAGACCAGCAGGGAAACAUUUAAAUAAGAAGUGCUGAAAAGAAUUGGAGCUUCUGCACAAUGAAAUCUGCAAGAAUCCAACUUCAAAUCCCCCUGGAUUGUCACCGGUCCAACUUCCAUGGACUGGUCACCGUGGCCAGGAGUGCCCAGUCCUGCUGGAAUGCACUGGACCGGGAUGUCAUUUUCAUUUUAUCCUGGUAAAGACCCUCUGGGUGACCCCCAGGGACUGGAAGGACCAGACUGGGCUCCCAGGGCACUAAUUCCAGGGGUUCUGUUUUUGGGAACAGCACAGGAGCCGUUCCCCUGCCCAGAGGAGCAGCCAGUGCCUCCCUUAGUCCACAAAUCCCCAGGACUGACCACACAGGAAAUAACAGGAAUGUGGAAAUCCCCCACACUGGGAGUUUGUGGUGCUCUGGAUUACAUUUUGGAUUUAUAAGGUUAAAGGGGGGCUGUGGAAUGGCUUCUCUCCUUUUUAUUGUCACUGUUGUCACUGCUUUUGUUGCCAUUAAUAUUAAAUGAUUGUAUUUGACAUUAAAUGAUUGUAUUUGACUAGUUUCCAUUAUUAAACUGUUCCAAGCUGGA